Long non-coding RNA from Nicotiana tabacum (common tobacco), 612 nucleotides. RefSeq lists it as uncharacterized. NCBI's taxonomy places the organism in Eukaryota, Viridiplantae, Streptophyta, Magnoliopsida, Solanales, Solanaceae. The record is from RefSeq and is a predicted model, not a curated record.
UAUAAAUUGUAGCUUGUACUGAAGCAAAAUGAUGCACACACAAAAACUCCUAUUUUCCGAUAUAAAGCUCUAGCAGUUCUCUGAUCGAUCGAUGGCUUUGCUCAAGUUUCUUUUUGUUUUGACUACUCUUCUCAUGGCAUUCACUGCUCAACUGUCAUGGCUCUCAAAGACACAAGUGAUUGCCACAAGAGAUGUUAAUCAUGAUUCAGAAGUGUUAGAAGGCAUGCUAGUCCUACCUUCUGCUAAGCUGAUGACUUGCGGGCGCAGUUGUACAUACAGUGAGGAAUGCAGUGACGGUUGGGCAUGCAAUCUUUGUAUUUUUAUAACACAAGAAUGGAAAGCUUGCAGCGCAUUUUGACAAGCUUAUCUGAAGGUCGUUUACUGGUUUCCGAACAACUCUACCAUGUGCAAGUUCUUAUUAUUUGUCUGAGUCUCUCUGUGUGCUUCAGUUCAUUCCAUGUUUUAUCCAGCAAUAAAAAAAAUAUCCAUUGAGAAAUCAUAAUGGAUGUACAACUUCGUGCAAUGCAUGUAGUCAUUGCUCAAUUUACAAGUGUAUCACAUAUGUUGUUUGUAUCGAACUUUUCUUCUUUCUUUGUUGAUUAACAUUCGUCA